GAAGCUGGAAUCGCUAGUAAUCGCGGAUCAGAAUGCCGCGGUGAAUACGUUCCCGGGUCUUGUACACACCGCCCGUCACACCAUGGGAGUCGGAAAUGCCCCGAAGUCAGUGACCCAACCGUAAGGAAGGAGCUGCCGAAGGUGGAGCCGGUAACUGGGGUGAAGUCGUAACAAGGUAAC
This 180-nucleotide ribosomal RNA is filed under the name uncultured bacterium. RNAcentral's name for it is "partial 16S ribosomal RNA". It matches the Rfam family "Bacterial small subunit ribosomal RNA", at positions 1322 to 1500 of the family's 1533-position model. The record is from RNAcentral.